AGUCAUAUGCUUGUCUCAAAGAUUAAGCCAUGCAUGUCUCAGUACAAGCCGAAUUAAGGUGAAACCGCGAAAGGCUCAUUAAAUCAGUUAUGGUUCCUUAGAUCGUACCCACAUUUACUUGGAUAACUGUGGUAAUUCUAGAGCUAAUACAUGCAAACAGAGCUCCGACCGGAGACGGAAGGAGCGCUUUUAUUAGAUCAAAACCAAUCGGCGGCGGGCUCGCUCGUCGUCGUACACCUUGGUGAAUCUGAAUAACUUUCUGCUGAUCGCAUGGUCUCGCACCGGCGACGCAUCUUUCAAAUGUCUGCCUUAUCAACUGUCGAUGGUAGGUUCUGCGCCUACCAUGGUUGUAACGGGUAACGGGGAAUCAGGGUUCGAUUCCGGAGAGGGAGCCUGAGAAACGGCUACCACAUCCAAGGAAGGCAGCAGGCGCGCAAAUUACCCACUCCCGGCACGGGGAGGUAGUGACGAAAAAUAACGAUACGGGACUCAUCCGAGGCCCCGUAAUCGGAAUGAGUACACUCUAAACCCUUUAACGAGGAUCAAUUGGAGGGCAAGUCUGGUGCCAGCAGCCGCGGUAAUUCCAGCUCCAAUAGCGUAU
Molecule: ribosomal RNA, 601 nt
Filed under: Elminae sp. FC_E04
Lineage: Eukaryota; Metazoa; Arthropoda; Insecta; Coleoptera; Elmidae
Also listed under: 5 other names
Description: SSU rRNA
Rfam family: Eukaryotic small subunit ribosomal RNA
Source: RNAcentral